This 253-nucleotide ribosomal RNA is filed under the name Mycobacterium sp. Its description in RNAcentral is "partial 16S ribosomal RNA". It matches the Rfam family "Bacterial small subunit ribosomal RNA", at positions 919 to 1173 of the family's 1533-position model. Lineage: Bacteria; Bacillati; Actinomycetota; Actinomycetes; Mycobacteriales; Mycobacteriaceae. The record is from RNAcentral.
GCCCGCACAAGCGGCGGAGCAUGUGGAUUAAUUCGAUGCAACGCGAAGAACCUUACUUGGGUUUGACAUGCACAGGACGACUGCAGAGAUGUGGUUUCCCUUGUGGCCUGUGUGCAGGUGGUGCAUGGCUGUCGUCAGCUCGUGUCGUGAGAUGUUGGGUUAAGUCCCGCAACGAGCGCAACCCUUGUCCUAUGCUGCCAGCGGGUUAUGCCGGGGACUCGUAGGAGACUGCCGGGGUCAACUCGGAGGAAGG